RNAcentral lists this ribosomal RNA (270 nucleotides) under uncultured bacterium. RNAcentral's name for it is "partial 16S ribosomal RNA". It matches the Rfam family "Bacterial small subunit ribosomal RNA", at positions 420 to 688 of the family's 1533-position model. The record is from RNAcentral.
GGGUUGUAAACUGCUUUUAUACGGGAAGAAACACCCCCUCGUAAGGGGGCUUGACGGUACCGUAUGAAUAAGGAUCGGCUAACUCCGUGCCAGCAGCCGCGGUAAUACGGAGGAUCCAAGCGUUAUCCGGAAUCAUUGGGUUUAAAGGGUCCGUAGGCGGGCUAUUAAGUCAGUGGUGAAAGUCUGCGGCUCAACGGUAAAAUUGCCAUUGAUACUGUUAACCUUGAGUUAUUAUGAACUGGUUAAAAUAUUUAUUGCCCGCGUACAGAC